RNAcentral lists this unclassified non-coding RNA (306 nucleotides) under plant metagenome. Its description in RNAcentral is "partial contains 5.8S ribosomal RNA, internal transcribed spacer 2, and large subunit ribosomal RNA". The stretch from base 1 to 105 matches the Rfam family "5.8S ribosomal RNA", at positions 50 to 154 of the family's 154-position model. The record is from RNAcentral.
GAAAUGCGAUAAGUAGUGUGAAUUGCAGAAUUCAGUGAAUCAUCGAAUCUUUGAACGCACAUUGCGCCCUUUGGUAUUCCAAAGGGCAUGCCUGUUCGAGCGUCAUUUUACCCUCAAGCUUUGCUUGGUGUUGGGCGUCUUGUCUCUAGCUUUGCUGGAGACUCGCCUUAAAGUAAUUGGCAGCCGGCCUACUGGUUUCGGAGCGCAGCACAAGUCGCACUCUCUAUCAGCAAAGGUCUAGCAUCCAUUAAGCCUUUUUUCAACUUUUGACCUCGGAUCAGGUAGGGAUACCCGCUGAACUUAAGC